GCAGGGAUGGAGCAAUGGCGGCUCGUGACGCUCAUAACGUCAAGAUCGGCAAGUUCGAAUCUUGCCCCCUGCC
This 73-nucleotide transfer RNA is filed under the name Pseudanabaena sp. RU_4_16. RNAcentral's name for it is "tRNA-Met". It matches the Rfam family "tRNA". From Rfam's summary of the family: Transfer RNA (tRNA) molecules are approximately 80 nucleotides in length. Their secondary structure includes four short double-helical elements and three loops (D, anti-codon, and T loops). The record is from RNAcentral. Lineage: Bacteria; Bacillati; Cyanobacteriota; Cyanophyceae; Pseudanabaenales; Pseudanabaenaceae.